CUACGGGGCGCACCAGUGGGGAAUAUUGCACAAUGGAGGAAACUCUGAUGCAGCAACGCCGCGUGGAGGAUGACACUUUUCGGAGCGUAAACUCCUUUUAUAUAGGAAGAAGAUGACGGUACUAUAUGAAUAAGCGCCGGCUAACUCCGUGCCAGCAGCCGCGGUAAUACGGAGGGCGCAAGCGUUACUCGGAAUCACUGGGCGUAAAGAGCGUGUAGGCGGAUUAAAAAGUCAGAAGUGAAAUCCUAUAGCUUAACUAUAGAACUGCUUCUGAAACUCUUAAUCUAGAAUAUGGGAGAGGUAAAUGGAAUUUCUGGUGUAGGGGUAAAAUCCGUAGAGAUCAGAAGGAAUACCGAUUGCGAAGGCGAUCUACUAGAACAUUAUUGACGCUGAGACGCGAAAGCGUGGGGAGCAAACAGGAUUAGAUACCCGGGUAGUC
RNAcentral lists this ribosomal RNA (439 nucleotides) under uncultured bacterium. RNAcentral's name for it is "partial 16S ribosomal RNA". It matches the Rfam family "Bacterial small subunit ribosomal RNA", at positions 339 to 795 of the family's 1533-position model. The record is from RNAcentral.